AGUGAACGCUGGCGGUAGGCCUAACACAUGCAAGUCGAACGGCAGCACAGUAAGAGCUUGCUCUUACGGGUGCCGAGUGGCGGACGGGUGAGGAAUACCUCGGAAUCUACUUUUUCGUGGGGGCUAAAGUAGGGACACUUACGCUAAUACCGCAUACGACCUACGGGUGAAAUCAGGGGAUCUUCGGACCUUGCGUGAUUGAAUGAGCCGAUGUCGGAUUAGCUAGUUGGCGGGGUAAAGGCCCACCAAGGCGACGAUCCGUAGCUGGUCUGAGAGGAUGAUCAGCCACACUGGAACUGAGACACGGUCCAGACUCCUACGGGAGGCAGCAGUGGGGAAUAUUGGACAAUGGGCGCAAGCCUGAUCCAGCCAUACCGCGUGUGUGAAGAAGGCCUUCGGGUUGUAAAGCCCUUUUGUUGGGAAAGAAAAGCAGUAGGUUAAUACCCCGCUGUUCUGACGGUACCCAAAGAAUAAGCACCGGCUAACUUCGUG
RNAcentral lists this ribosomal RNA (492 nucleotides) under uncultured bacterium. RNAcentral describes it as "partial 16S ribosomal RNA". It matches the Rfam family "Bacterial small subunit ribosomal RNA", at positions 29 to 507 of the family's 1533-position model. The record is from RNAcentral.